Cyanistes caeruleus (blue tit) is the source of this 2594-nucleotide non-coding RNA. The record is from RefSeq and is a predicted model, not a curated record. NCBI's taxonomy places the organism in Eukaryota, Metazoa, Chordata, Aves, Passeriformes, Paridae.
CCGACCUGGAAGUGAUCGCGGGCACGGGACGCGGCGGAAGUACCGGCUGGAAGGAGGCUUCCCUUUCCCGGUGGUCCUUACGGGCCUCGAGUGCCCCUGGUCCCUCACCCGCCGCCCGCACGACCGCCUCCAGCCCCGGCGGGCUGGGCAGCGCUGCCACUGCUGCCCGCAAAAACCGGAUUGGUCGCCCGGUGUGCAACAAGCACACUCGCGAGAGACAGAGUAUCUUAUUUCAGAGUUGCACAACCCUGGGUGGUCCCUGAUAAUCCACAGAUCAAGCGCCCCAACUAUCAGAGCUUUUUUCUAUUUAUACAUUUUAGCAAACAAAGGGAUUAGUGUUCAUUGGCUACAAGUUACACAGUUCUCUUGCCAAUCAGUAUUCUAUCUUCUACUGGUCAAUGAUUCUCUCCUAUCGUGCUAAUUGAUCCCAUGCUGAGUCUCUCUCCUUUGGGCCGGUGGGUUUUUCGGGUCGGUGCUCCGUGGGUUGGUCGGGAUCUGCCCCUGCCGGGGGGCAGCUGGAGCACUUUUCAGCGCGGUUACUGAGUGGUCUUAAUUUGUUUCUGCCUUGUCUUGGGAAUUCUGCCAGAUAUCAUUAUGGCCCCUAAAUUCUGCAUCCUUUGUGUAAUGUGGGACAGCUGCUAUGUCCACAGUGGUACAUCCUUCUUCCCAAGCUUUGCUAACUGGGUCUGAGAACAAUGAAACAUGUCCAGCGCUAAACCUUAACAAGACAAUUCUUCAAAAAGCAAUUUGCUUUCCUAACACUUGGACAUCACCUAGAGCUUGCUGAGUCCUUUGUGUUUCAUGAGUUAAAUCUCCUGUCUUGCUGGUUACACUUGAAAGCAGAUAAAGAUCAAAAUACCAAUGGAUAUUCUUUCUUAAGAAUAUUUUUACAUACUCACAUGUUUUGCAACAGUUGGGUAAUGAUUUUAAGGAGUGUGUUGCCAUGGAUCCUGCCUUUCCUUAGCUGAAUAGAGGUUCAGCCUGAGUGGUCCAUUUAGUUUCAGUCACUACAUUGUAUUGUAAUUGUUUCAGUAAAUAUGGGUUGAACACAGAAUUGCAUGCAAAAUUUGGAGUGUUGAAAGGGAGCUGGCAGACUUGCUUGACUGCAUUCUGAUAUAUUUUUUGAUGUGUGGAAAUUGAAGUGACUUUUACACAAAAUCAAAAGCCACACAGCAGGUCUGAUGGCCUAUGUCCCACAGAAGAUUUCAGAGCAUGGACCAACUUGUUUGGCAUCCUCUCUCUGGGUUCCUACACUCAUAGGGGUGCAGAGUUUCACGUGGGGAAACCAUUGAUGUGUGGACUUCAAUUGUUUGCAUAUCUUAUUCCUACUCUCAAAAACUGUGGAGAGGUGAUGUAUUUGCAUGUUAAGAGGCAACGUAACUGCUUAGGGAGCAAUCUGACUUUCAAAGCAUUGGAGCAUUGUGUGAAAAUAAGCUUGAAAGUAUUUAUCUCUAUUUAAAAGUGUUCUUACUUGGUGACAAGAUGACAUGAUGAUUUUAUCAAAUUACCUGUUUUUAUGAAAUUACUUGUAUAUAGGUUGUUCCAAGGUAGCCAAACCCCAGGAAUUAUAUAUUUAAAAAUAAAAAUAAAAAUCUAAGAUCCAGAGCCUAAGAACUGGUAGCAGAAGCUGGAGGAAAAGAAAAUUGUCUGUAUUGCAGGACCUAAGUGUAAGCUGCAGCUCCCACCUAGUUUGUAUAUGAAACAACUCUGAGAAAAUACUCGGAGAAAAAAAGAUUGUGCCAUAACUCCCUGAGGUAUCUGAGAACUUGGCAGUGCACUGCUGCUGUGGUAUUUAAACAUAGCUGGAAUCUUCUUGUUAGAGGAGUCCUGACUACACCAGCAGCAGAAGGGUGUUAGUUCAAUACUGGGAAGGCAGAAGAAUUGCAACAAUGUGAAGAAAUGUAAGGGUGGUCAGGUUCUUCCUGAGUCUUUUUGCCCGCGCAUGGAUUGCACUGAGGUCGUUCAUUAAAAGUAUGAGCUACUGGAAUUUUAGGAAGUCCAGCAGGUUCAUCUUUAAAGCAUGGGUCUGCACAAAUGAUUCAGGGAAAUUUCUAGUUGAUGAGACUUUUGUUGGUUUUUUAAUAACAAAAUUAAACUGCUGCUGCUUCAAGGGUUUCACUUUCCAUGGCAUCUUUUAAGGGAUUAAAUAGUUUCAUACCAAUGUGACUAGUUUUUCAUUGUAUUUAUCCUUAAACAGGAAUUAUAUUUUGUGUGGAAUGUUAAGAACCAAAGUAAUUUUUACUACAUGCUUUGGAAUUUGUUAUACUUCCUAUUGUGAUUUACUGUAAUAAUACAUACACGAUACAGGAUUAUUGUUUUCUCUGUUCUCUUUGCUUCCAGUCUCCAGGACUGAUGUGUAGAGUAUCUGGUGCUGACAGUACAUUGCACAACACUUCUCUGUGAUAUUAUUAGAUUUGUUGAGAUGUGUGAAAACAGUAUAAAAAUGUGGAGCAAUCAUCUGAGCAAGAAGAAACAAAGCACAAAGACAAGCCUAGGAACUCUCUCUUGCAGACAGUUCCAAGAAGGUCCGAAAAAGUAAACCUCUCAUUGGUCAUCAAACCAACACAUCACCAUCAUUGGACAAUUGGGAACAC